GCGCCUAACACAUGCAAGUCGAACGAGAAAGCGGGAGCAAUCUCGCAAGUAAAGUGGCGUACGGGUGAGUAACACGUGGAUCAUCUGCCCUGGAGUGUGGAAUAACGCUGGGAAACCGGCGCUAAUACCGCAUAUUCCCGAGAGGGGAAAGCAGCAAUGCGCUCGAGGAGGAGUCCGCGGCCGAUUAGCUAGUUGGCAGGGUAAAAGCCUACCAAGGCUGUGAUCGGUAGCCGGCCUGAGAGGGCACACGGCCACACUGGCACUGAAACACGGGCCAG
Molecule: ribosomal RNA, 278 nt
Filed under: uncultured bacterium
Lineage: Bacteria
Description: partial 16S ribosomal RNA
Rfam family: Bacterial small subunit ribosomal RNA
Source: RNAcentral